Molecule: small nucleolar RNA, 107 nt
Organism: Lycium barbarum (goji berry)
Lineage: Eukaryota; Viridiplantae; Streptophyta; Magnoliopsida; Solanales; Solanaceae
Source: RefSeq, a predicted model, not a curated record
AAGCCAUGAUUCAGAGACCUCAUUAAAUAUUUCUUGAACCUCUCCGAAGCUUCAUAAAGUUGUUCCCCCGGAAGUUGCUUGAACUAAAAAAUAUUGUCUCUAAGUUC